Molecule: long non-coding RNA, 2161 nt
Filed under: Oryza sativa (Asian cultivated rice)
Lineage: Eukaryota; Viridiplantae; Streptophyta; Magnoliopsida; Poales; Poaceae
Description: long non-coding RNA (OSAT_LNC001744)
Source: RNAcentral
AAGAUGGAGCUUCGCUUGUACUGGCCGCUGCACGCCUAUUUCGCUCCAAUUCCGUAGUAACACAUCGAUCAACGUUCUUCCAUUCGCGUCUUAUUCCAACUAUAAUUCCAUGCAGAAGUUAUUUUUGGAGUUAAUUUGAUACAUGAACUAAGAAAGAUUUAAAUGAUUUUAUUGCCCUAUAAAUAUUAUUGUACAUUUCAAAUGGUGCAUUGAUAGAUCAUUUAUUCAUGAGGCACAAUAUUGACUAAGAUAAUGUAAGGGGAAUAAAGGAGGUCAUAUGUGAUGAGGUAAUUAAUUUGUUUCCACGUCCAUUACUCCUGGUUAAUAUAGUGAUACUGAAAGUUGCUCAAUCCAUUCCAAAUAAUUGACACCGGCACUAUUUAAUUUUAAAUUUAACCAUCUUUUGCACAAAAAAAAAAGAAUACAUGAAAAAUAUGGUAUACUAGCGAACAAUGUGCUGUCAAAAAUAUUAUCAUACAAAUUUCUUUCAUCAUAAUAUAAUUAUUUAAAAGUAUUUAUGGUUAAAGUGAACCGACUGUAGUCAAUUAUUUGAAGAACAGAGGUAGCAAAUUCUGAGUUUAAACAUGAAUAUUUUGGUAUUUAGAUUUUACCAUAACAUUUACCACGGAAGGUUAAAUGGCCUCACACCUCUUUGUGCACUCUUAUUAUAUAGAUUCUGUUUCUAUUUUAUAAAUCGGCGGGAUGCUCUAGGAUUUACUUGGAUGGAAGUUCAAAUGUGGGGCAGACACACCAAGGGUGCGCUCCACAUUAUAUAUGUUUUGUACAAACUUUAUCAUUUGUUGAGAAGGAGGUGGUAUGGACUCACAAGAAGUGUGUGCUUUUAUAGGUCUGGUAAUAGGCUCCAAACAUUGAUCGAUGAAGGAUUUGCACAUCCAUUCAAUCUAAGGACUUAAAUCUAGCUAGGCGAAACGAGAUGCACAUCUUAAGUUAUGCUUAGCUCCCCCAAUUAUUUUUUACAUUGAAUUGUACAUUCAAGCCUGUUUUUCUCGCAUGUUUCCGUAUUUCAAAAGUACGGUCGAGUUGUUUUGUUUGCACUAAAUAAAAGUACUGCUCCCAACGUUCAAAUAUAAGAAUUUCUGCGUGUUUCCCAAAUUUUGAAAAUCUCACAGAAAACACAUAUAUUUUGGAAUGGACAUAGUACUCCGUAGUUUCAACCGUACACUUCUCUACAAAUUUUCCCAGUAAAAAAAACUCAACUAGCAUCAACGGUAGCAAUUAGGUCGAAAACUGUGAUACGAUAAAACCAUGUUACAUGGAUACACAAUAAAGAUAUGGCUAGUAUUGGACUAGCGACCUAAGGUACCUUUUUUUUUCUGGAUAAUCUGUUUGGAUGCUCACCUCAUUUUGCCACAAUUUUGUGCUAAAAGUAUAUCAAGGUAUAAAUUGUGCGGCUCCAAAAUUAAUGGUCAUAUUUGUGUCAAACUUUGGCUAAGAAAAGAGCCUAUGAUUUGUGGGACCAAAAGAUAAGAAAUCAUUGCAUGCUAAAAUUGUAGAAACCAACCAAACACUAGCCAUAUUUUACCACAUUUUGCCAUAUAAUAGUCAAGAGUGGUAAAAUACAACACCAAUGAAGCAUGCUCUAAACACUUGAAUGAUUUUGUAAUUGUUAUUUAAGGGUCCAAACAAAUCAAUUGACUAUUAGAAGUUAAAAUAGAUUUAAAAUAGGCUUUUAAAGAAAUUUAUGUAAUCAAAUUUUUAUGAAAAGUUAAACAUGAAGCAUGUCAUAUUAAUCCAUGAUACCCAAUGUGAUAUUUGCCCAUUGUAGUGGGGCCUGUCUGUAAAUAUCAUUGUGCUUUAAGCUAGUUUAAUAAAGUAUAUACUUUCUUCGUCUAAACAAUAUCCAAUUAUAGAGAUAUAAAAAGGUGACAAUAUCAUCUGAGGCUUUUGGUCUCAGUUAGUCUUGCAAAAAAUAUAAAAAAAAUGCUUUUGAAGUUUUUCACAAAGUUUACUUUUAUAUUGUUAAAAACACAUAUAUAAAAAAUUUAUUUAUAAAUUAUUUUUUAUUUAUAAAUAUACCGUUUGUGACUUACCAGAACAAGGAGAGAAGAGUCUGUUCAUCGGUCCAUCACGGCCGGACAAACCUCGCCGCUUCGCUUCGCUUCACCCUUUUUCGGUUCGCUCUAGCUCCUCAUCCCGUUAU